AUUCAGCAUGCCUUAGUACGGCGAGUGAAGCGGCAAAAGCUCAAAUUUGAAAUCUGGCACCUUCGGUGUCCGAGUUGUAAUUUGAAGAAGGUAACUUUGGAGUUGGCUCUUGUCUAUGUUCCUUGGAACAGGACGUCACAGAGGGUGAGAAUCCCGUGCGAUGAGAUGCCCAAUUCUAUGUAAAGUGCUUUCGAAGAGUCGAGUUGUUUGGGAAUGCAGCUCUAAGUGGGUGGUAAAUUCCAUCUAAAGCUAAAUAUUGGCGAGAGACCGAUAGCGAACAAGUACAGUGAUGGAAAGAUGAAAAGAACUUUGAAAAGAGAGUGAAAAAGUACGUGAAAUUGUUGAAAGGGAAGGGCUUGAGAUCAGACUUGGUAUUUUGCGAUCCUUUCCUUCUUGGUUGGGUUCCUCGCAGCUUACUGGGCCAGCAUCGGUUUGGAUGGUAGGAUAAUGACUAAGGAAUGUGGCUCUACUUCGGUGGAGUGUUAUAGCCUUGGUUGAUACUGCCUGUCUAGACCGAGGACUGCGUCUUUUGACUAGGAUGUUGGCAUAAUGAUCUUAAGCCACCCGUCUAAAAAACGGGCAAAAAAAAACCCAUAAAAAUUAAAGG
This 607-nucleotide ribosomal RNA is filed under the name Debaryomyces hansenii. Its description in RNAcentral is "LSU rRNA". It matches the Rfam family "Eukaryotic large subunit ribosomal RNA", at positions 68 to 664 of the family's 3401-position model. Lineage: Eukaryota; Fungi; Ascomycota; Pichiomycetes; Serinales; Debaryomycetaceae. The record is from RNAcentral.